UACGGGGGGGGUAAGCGUUGUUCGGAAUUACUGGGCGUAAAGGGUGCGUAGGCGGCUUUCUAAGUCGGAUGUGAAAACUCUGGGCUCAACCCAGAGCCUGCAUCCGAAACUGGAGAGCUAGGGUUCUGGAGGGGAAAGCGGAAUUCCUGGUGUAGCGGUGAAAUGCGCAGAUAUCGGGAAGAACACCCGUGGCGAAGGCGGUUCUCUGGGACGGUACUGACGCUGAGACGCGAAAGCGUGGGGAGCGAACAGG
RNAcentral lists this ribosomal RNA (253 nucleotides) under uncultured bacterium. RNAcentral describes it as "partial 16S ribosomal RNA". It matches the Rfam family "Bacterial small subunit ribosomal RNA", at positions 524 to 776 of the family's 1533-position model. The record is from RNAcentral.